AGAGAGAGGGGGCUUAUAAAUAAAGUGUUUGUAUCAGUUUCAUUGUCAUCCUUUUCUCUAACAAAACAAAAGUAAAUUGAAUUAUAUAUACUUAUCUUUUUCCAUUUGUAUAUAUGUAAGGUUCAAAUAAUCCUAACAGUACCAUAAAGACCGAGUAGCUAGCUCAGCGCUUGCAAGAUUUGUUGUUGCCUAUCACUAUUGUGACGAGAAUUGUGAACAAAACAUUUUCAAUGCAUUCAACAAUCAAUGACGACGCAGUAGAGGCGAUUCAAAAAAUCAUGAGCUAUUUCAUUCAGCGUAUCACCAUAAAAGCUAAUGAAUACUGUCACAUGAUUAAAAGAAAGAUUGUGACUGCUGAAGAUAUUCUUUGGGCUAUAAACAAUGUUGGUUUGAAUAACUAUAUGGAGUUUCUAACCGAUUACCUCCACAAGUAUCAUAGAGAGAAUUCUAUGCACUAUUUGAGGCCUACUAUUGUUCUACCCAGUACACCAUCAUCUCUAAUUUUGCCCAUGAAUAGUGUACCAAUGAUGAGUUAAGUGUACGCACAAUUUUCACCAAAUGUGUUGCUUAAUGAUUCUGUUGCAGCUGUCAUGACAAAUGUCAGGAACGAAAAUAUGGUGGCGGAGAAUGAUGAAGAUCCCGAUAGUUCUGAGUCAUCUUCUUCUUGAACUGCAACUAACUAGCGCUUGCCUAUGAACAAUUUAAUCCAGCUGGAAUAUGUUUUAUGCUUUAUGGAUUGAACUUUAUUUGAAGUAUUGUAUGAACAAUUAGUUUCUUAUUUUCUUUUUAAUUGUUUGUGCUUCUAAGUGUCCUUGUUAAGAAUAACAACUCUAUGUUAUAUAUUAGUAAGCUACCUAUGUUUUAAUAAGUGCUUCUUCUGUUUCUUUUAGUUGUCGGGAUAAGGUGUUGCACAUUCUUUUAGAAAAAGUUAAUUGAAUGUGUGAUUUAAUUAACGUAUCUCUUAUUAA
Capsicum annuum is the source of this 968-nucleotide long non-coding RNA. RefSeq lists it as uncharacterized. The transcript has 2 exons. The record is from RefSeq and is a predicted model, not a curated record. Lineage: Eukaryota; Viridiplantae; Streptophyta; Magnoliopsida; Solanales; Solanaceae.